AUUGAACGCUGGCGGCAUGCCUUACACAUGCAAGUCGAACGGCAGCACGGGUGCUUGCACCUGGUGGCGAGUGGCGAACGGGUGAGUAAUACAUCGGAACAUGUCCUGUAGUGGGGGAUAGCCCGGCGAAAGCCGGAUUAAUACCGCAUACGAUCUACGGAUGAGAGCGGGGGACCUUCGGGCCUCGCGCUAUAGGGUUGGCCGAUGGCUGAUUAGCUAGUUGGUGGGGUAAAGGCCUACCAAGGCGACGAUCAGUAGCUGGUCUGAGAGGACGACCAGCCACACUGGGACUGAGACACGGCCCAGACUCCUACGGGAGGCAGCAGUGGGGAAUUUUGGACAAUGGGCGAAAGCCUGAUCCAGCAAUGCCGCGUGUGUGAAGAAGGCCUUCGGGUUGUAAAGCACUUUUGUCCGGAAAGAAAUCCUUGGCCCUAAUACGGUCGGGGAUGACGGUACCGGAAGAAUAAGCACCGGCUAACUACGUG
RNAcentral lists this ribosomal RNA (485 nucleotides) under uncultured bacterium. Its description in RNAcentral is "partial 16S ribosomal RNA". It matches the Rfam family "Bacterial small subunit ribosomal RNA", at positions 30 to 507 of the family's 1533-position model. The record is from RNAcentral.